RNAcentral lists this signal recognition particle RNA (292 nucleotides) under Aotus nancymaae (Ma's night monkey). RNAcentral describes it as "Metazoan signal recognition particle RNA (ENSANAG00000002549.1)". It matches the Rfam family "Metazoan signal recognition particle RNA". Rfam says of the family: The signal recognition particle (SRP) is a universally conserved ribonucleoprotein. It is involved in the co-translational targeting of proteins to membranes. The record is from RNAcentral. Lineage: Eukaryota; Metazoa; Chordata; Mammalia; Primates; Aotidae.
GCCAGUGGUGUGUGCCUGUAGUCCCAGCUACUGGGGAGGCUGAGAUGGGAGGACUGCUUGAGCCCAGGAGUUCUGGGCUAUUGUGCACUAUGCCAAACGGGUGUCCACACUAAGUUAGGCAUCAAAAUGGUGACCUCCCGGGAGCGGGGACCACCAGGUUGUCUAAGAAGGGGUGAACCAGUCCAGGUCGGAAACGGAGCAAGUCAAAACUCCUGUGCUGAUCAGUAGUGGGAUCGCGCCUGUGAAUAGUCACUGCACUCCAGUCUAGGCAACAUAGCGAGACCCUGUCUCA